Molecule: long non-coding RNA, 4228 nt
Organism: Felis catus (domestic cat)
Lineage: Eukaryota; Metazoa; Chordata; Mammalia; Carnivora; Felidae
Exons: 4
Source: RefSeq, a predicted model, not a curated record
GCAGGGCGGGAGGCGGCGGCGCGGAUUGGCUGGGACCUGCUGCCGUAAAACGGCCGGGGCCGGCCGGGGAUUGGCUGGCGCUGGCUCAGCCCCGGCCGCCGCAGUCCUCUGGCGCGGAGGUGACGGUCGGUGGCGGCCGCCCGAGGGUCUGUGCCGCCGUACCCGCAAGGGCACCUUGGCCGGGCCGGGGUGCGCCGGGAGUGCCCGCGUGGGCGGCCCGGGUGCGCUCUGGGUACGCCCUGCCGGGGAGGCGGGACAGGAGGGUUCGGUUGGUCGGGUCUCUUUUUUAACUGUCCCCCCUCCCCCCCUUUUUUAUUUGCUGAUGUUUGAGGUGGGGGGAAGGGCAGAGAGAGAGGAAGACAGAUGAUCCAAAGCAGGUUCUGUGCUGCCUGCGCAGAGAGCGGCCGAGAGCCUGACGCGGGGCUAGAACUCAAGGACCCGAGAACAUGACCUGAGCCGGAAUGGGUUGCUUAACCGACUGAGCCACCCAGGCGCCCUGGUCUUUAAAAUCUUCUGUUAGGGGCCCCAGAUGAAAACCAUCGGCCCUUACCAUGCCUUUUGGUGAAGGUGUAGGGGACGGGCGGCAGGCAGUCUCUGGUAGGAGCCUAAAUUGGAUGUCAACACUGCUGUGGGCGGUUGGUGGCGUGGAUUGACGUUGGCUAUGGACACGCCCUUUGGCCCAGCCGCCCCUUCUCCAGCGGUCCCCCCCCCCCCCGACAGGCAAGCUUGUGCAAUUUCAGAUGCACAGCAUUAUUUUUAAUAUGUCCACCCACAGGGAGAGUUAGAUCACGCUGCAUCCAUUCCACUGAAUCAUGAGCGGUGGAUCAGAAGAAUCCUCUGCAGAUUCCUAGACCCCCGCAAGCUUAGAGCUUCAGGAGAUCUGGAGGGGAGCCUCUGAAAGCUGGUCAGUGACAGCGCGUGGAGAAACACUACUGAGGGCUCCUGUCCCCAGUUCCUGGUGUCACCGCCAGGCCAGCGUCUGAACAUUCUGCUUGCCACAGUUGGGCCACACUUGGAUCUUCGAGGCUUCUGUUAAGUUCCCAUUGCGUGGAAGGUUUUCUUCUGGAAAUGGGGCUAACGAGGACCAUGUUGUCCAUCUGGGACAGCUGUUGUGAUGACAAGAGACAAUUUCCGAGGAGUACUUGGGGGCAAAGACAUCUUCAAGAAUUCUUCCUUGGCCGUCGGCUCCGGACCCCACCAUCACCCCAAAGCCCCCUCAAUACUGUUCCUCCGGAAGUCACAAAGAAAUGGCUUCACGGGCAAGAAACCUUCAUUUUGCUUGGCAAUUCAGGAGUUUCCUAGGCAUAAACGGUAAAGGAUAUCGUUUAUGAUAAAGGAUAAAGGAAACAGAGGCAUCACUCGUUUGCAUUCUAUACUGAAAUGAGUGAUUGGAGCCACAACUCCCACUAAACACUGAACUAGACAGUAAACCCAACCCCUGAAAGGCGAGAGGGAACUGGGUAAUCACAGGAUGCCAAACUGUCACCCACGGGUCGCCCAUUUCUGGUCAUAGGGAAGAAGAGGCCGACACGCUUUGUGAGUAUAGACAGCUUUCUCCUACCAUGGUGUUCUUAGGGGCUUCAGGGGAAAAAUGAAGCCGGUGGAGAGCAGGGUUUCCUGGGCCAGAGGCAUCUAGGAAACGUGUGAAUCCGACAAGGUUAAUUUUUUUCUGCAGCUCUUUUGAGAGCCUUUAUGAAGCUCAUGUGAAUUUGUGAUGGCAUAAAAGUUAACCCAUGGAUCAGUUACCAAAUGUCCUUAACCAGAGAGCCCUUUGGAAGGAGCAUCUCGUGGGACUGGCGGUCCAGGGGCUCCAGUGGCCCCGUGCCCGGCCGCCAGGGUGUGCCGAUGGAAGAAACCAGACCUGCCAGUCAGGUGAACAAAUCCUGCCACUUUUUAUUUAGCUGCCUGCAUUUGGCAAGUUUUUAAAACUGCCUAGGCCUCGGUUUUUAAAUCUGUAAACGGAGCCAAUAUCGCACCAUAUAUGCAGUUGAGUUUCUGUGCCUACCUGUGAGCCCCUUCUGCUGCUGCUUCGUUUUCUAAUCAGUGAGGGGCUGUAAAUGUUGGAGAAAGGUGGGGGGUGGGAUCUCAACUUCUCUCAUACAAUGGUUUGGCUCUGAGUGUGGUGAAAACACCCUGUGGGGACAAGUUGCUCUGGGAAAAAGGACUGAGGCUGCCUCCCCUUUGACCUCACGCUUCCCUGUUGGUUCUUCCUUCCAACUGGUCUCUUGGCUUGGGGCGAGGGCCCUUGAGGGCAAAGCAUCUCCUGAUGUAACCAAAACUACCCCCUUGAGCAUCAGGACCGAGCUGAGCCAGCAGGACCACCUGGGAUCACUGGGAGACAAGCUGCCUUUGACCUUCACUGCCCACCUGCACAGACCCACCUCUGCCCCACGUUCUCCUCGCAUACACCUGCAAGUAUCUUUGGCACUUUGGAGACCGUCUUUGAGACGCCAGUCCGCCGUCUUCCCGGAGCUGGCCUCCCUGAAAUCAGUCCCUUUCCUGUUUCUCCAUCACUCCUUUCUCUGCCUUUGGGUUUUGCCAGCAGCGAGUGGGCGAACCUGGUGUGUUUGGGGCCCUGGGCCCCGGCUACAGCCACAUCCACAGAAGGGGUAGCUCACAUGGCUGACUGCAGACAGUCCUUCUUCUCUGUGCAGCAGGACGGAGCGGCCACGGGAUGGGCUCUUGGGUUGUGACGGCAGGAGCCUGCAAAGCCCCCUGGUCUGCUCCGAAGCUGGCUGAAACUCUACCUUUUGUGUUGAUAGAAAAGGAAGCCGCGGGGAGGGCCUCCCAGUGACUAAACCCAGGACAAUCUGAGUAUCAGAAAGCACAAAGCCUGACUGCAGGACCCCUAAGGGAAAACCAAAGGACGUAAAGGAAGACCACAGAAUGGGAGAAACUUGUUGCAAGUCAUAUAUCUGAUGAGGAACCAUUUAAAGAAUAACUUACAACCUAGUAAUACAAAGACAGCCCAAUUAAGUAACAACCAAAGGACCGAAUAGAGGUUUCUCCAAAGAAGACACACAAAUGGCCAAUAAGCUCAUGAAACUUAUUAGCCAUCAGGGAAAUGAUAAAACCACCAUGAGACCCCCCUUCACACUCUCCAGAAAGGCCACAAUCAAGAGAGUGGAACACAACAGGUGUCGGGCAGGAUGUAGAGGGACGGGAACCCCCAAUCGUGGCCGCUAGGAGUGCAAAGUGGCUGGACUGCUUUGGAAAACAGCCUGGCCGUCUUCCCGGGGUGAAACACGGGGUUGCCACAUGACUCAGCCACCCCACCCCCAGAUACACACCCAAGAGAACUGAAAACAUAUGUCCACACAGCACUUGUAUCCAAAUGCUCAUAGCAGCAUUGUAAAUAACAGCCAAAGAGUGAAAUCAACCCAAAUAUUGGGUCAACUGAGGAAGAGAUAAAUAAACUGUGGACUAGCCAUGCGAUGGAAUAUUACUCAGCAAUAAAACGAAACGAAGUCCUGGCACGCGCUACGACAUGGAUAGAUCUAGCAAGCCCGUGCUUAUGAAGGAGCCAGGCACCCGGGACCGCAUGCAGUAUGAGGCCACGUAUAUGAUGUGCACAGGGUGGGCUCAUCCAGGGAGACAGGAAACAGACUAGCGGCCGCCUGGGGCUGCGAGGCUUGGGGCAGGGCUAUGCACUCUUCUUCCGGGUGGAAACCGUCCAAUAUUGGUUGUACAGAUGGUGGGAUAACUCUGUGAAUGUGCUAAAAACCACUGAAUUGUACACUUUAAAGGCGGACAUUGCAUAUGCGAGUUGCAUCCCGGUAAAGUUAUUUUAAAAAACUUAGCAACAAACAAAAACCUUAAAAAAGGCACAGAAAGAAAAGCCAACAAAAUAAAAGCCUGAAACUCCUUUGUCAUAAUUCGUGCGCCAACUCUUCCGGUAAUUAAAGGAAAAGAAGCGUUUACCCACAUGAACUACUUCAGACAGGCCUGGUGACGGAGGAGAGCUCUUGUCCUCAGAAGGAGUUCGGCUAACAGAUAGGGGAGAGUGGUGGAAUGAAAAGAACACCAGUUUGCAAUCCCGACUGCAGUGCCGGCUUCAGACAGAAGGCAGCACAGAACUCUAGUCAUUUGGUAAAUAAAUGCGAGCCAGAUCUUCCCAGGGAUUGUUCGCUGUGUGAAAGGGGAAAUGCAAAUGUACAAGGAGGGAUCCAGGAGAUUCCACUUAGCAUCACCAUCAGAAGGACUGUAACUUACUGCCUCCCGGUGUGAU